AUACAUUGAUUUUAUUCAUAUUUUAAAGUUUUUGCUGCUAUCUUAAAAAAAAUAUUGUGUGAAACAUUACAUUAGGUAGGUAGUUAGGACUUAAAAUUAUCGGGUAUGUCUUUACAAAAGUCAACUUCGUUUCGUUUUGUAAAUUAACUUUUGAAUUUUAAGAAUCUUUUUUAUCUGCUGCACAAAAUACUAUUAUCUUAUAUUUAUCUUUUUGAAUACUUCUUAUUUUAGCUCAGUCAAGUGGCACACACGGGCAUUGGAAAUAACUUAAAAACGUUUAUCCACAAAAAGCUGUCACAAAAAUUGAAGGGCAAAGCUGUAGAUUCUGAAGCAUUAAAG
Long non-coding RNA from Cydia fagiglandana, 339 nucleotides. RefSeq lists it as uncharacterized. Lineage: Eukaryota; Metazoa; Arthropoda; Insecta; Lepidoptera; Tortricidae. The transcript is spliced from 3 exons. The record is from RefSeq and is a predicted model, not a curated record.